Molecule: long non-coding RNA, 8580 nt
Filed under: Triticum aestivum (bread wheat)
Lineage: Eukaryota; Viridiplantae; Streptophyta; Magnoliopsida; Poales; Poaceae
Description: long non-coding RNA (TAES_LNC014723)
Source: RNAcentral
UAUCUGAAAGCAUAACCGAGUAAAAUAGUGGCAGUCUUCAAUGGUACAACACAUGGCAAGUAAGCUAAAGUUUUACUGCAAGAAACAUGUCCCAGGUGCACAGGUGUAGAACAAUGGAUAGAAUCUUACAUGCACAUGUUUAAUAUCGGAUGCGUCAAAUUGUAGGAAAUUAAUAGAAUAAAGGUGAAACAAAAAAGCAGGACAUCAUUGAGAUGAGACAAAGUAGAAGCUCCCCGACCGCAUCUCCAUAGUAUUUCUCUCAUUUCACUUGAACAACAUAAUCCUUCAGAUAGAUUUCUUCAUAUCUUCACAUACGCAUCAUUUGCACUAUGUGGCCAUAUUCUUCUUCAUUUCAUAUUACCUUGUCUGCUAACAAAAUUGAAAAUGAACUAUGAUUCCCAUGGUACAUUUGGGGAAAAAGACAUGAUCCCAACUUAGCAUAGAGAGAACCUUAAAACAACUAAGCAUAGAGAGCUGAUAGUCGUCGCUGUCUUAAAUACUCCCUCCAUAUCAAAAUAUAAGACCUUUUAUGUAUACUGGUUUGACCUACAAGAACAUCUUAUAUUUUGGCACAUUGGUAGUACUAACUAACAGAAAUCAGAAAUCAGCAGGGCACAACUUACCAAAAAACAAAAGGCACCAAUCUAGGAAUGGAGACCGACAGGCUUGCUAAUUAAUUAGUUCCUAAUUAAAAGAUCAGAUCACAUCCAUCUGUCCCGUAUAUACAGAUGGACAGCGACAACCAAAAGAUCAUGAGUUGAUCCUGAACACCACCAGUAGCAUUAGUUAAUAAACUAUGAAGGCCGUCUAGAAAGCUAGAAAGAUAAGACCACUGUCAAACCAUCAAAGAGACCUUAAGUGUAAUAUUUAAUAAUUGAUAAAAUUCUUAUAAAAAACAUCAAGAUAAGAGAAGCAUCUACCCAAUAUAUGGAAAUCCAAGUCCGUGCUAAACAUCAAGAAAUUAAAAAACAAAAGAAGCAGAAAACAUCACCCUGGAGCAACCAACUACUCCCUCUGUAAAUCUAUCUACUACCACUAUAAAAAGGAAGAGAGAAGUAGAUCCAAAAAAUCACAUUCAUCCAUCAUUAAAAUCUAAUGGCCCUUAAUUUUUCUGUGUUUAACGCUACCAACCACGCGUUAAGCCAUGAUCGAUCGAUCGCUAAUCUGCCCCGCGGUAAAAAAGAAAGAAAACCGCGUGCACGACCUCCUCCGCCUCCUCCCGCGCCUUUCGCCUCCCGCAACCGUGCCCUUCGCUGCAGCCGAGGCAGACGAGCCCCAUGAAGGGGAGGUCCCUCCAGGGACGGUGCAGUCGGCGAGCGCUGCGUAGGCGUCGGCGAGGACGUGGACGAGGGAGGUGGCCCUGUUGUGUGCGAUGGGAGGCAGAUGCCGACGGCGCUGGCGACGAGGAUUGAUGCCGACGGCGCUUGACGGCCCUGCCCUGCCGCCGCCGUCGGCGGUGGCUUGGCACCCCAGGACACGGCCUGGGUGACCGGCGGUGCUGGGUGCGCCCAGAAGGAGCAGGUGUUAUUGCCUCACCGGUCGUCGCUGCCCGGCACGCGGGGGGCGGCGCUGGGGACUGUCGAGUCACGGCGGCCGCCCCGCUUGGAGAAGCUGCAUGGUAGUCGUUGCGCCAUGCUCAUCUGAUGCCUAGACGACAAGGAGCACCUUGCCAACAUCCCUAAGACAGGCGUCACUAGCGGAUGCAGCAGUGCAACGUAACUCCUCCUCUGAACUCUGCUCUUCUUCCUCCUGUGCUUUGCUGAUUACACUCACUCUCUAAUCUCUCUCUGAUAUGUGGGUACAGCUUGAGCUUCAGUGAGGUGUAGUCUAUGAUUGUGGAAGUAAAAACAAGGGGAAUGUUGGCGUUCUUGGAAAGAAUUUGUUAGUCCAAAGAAAGAAAACGAGAGAAGAAAAGAAACUGAAAAAGGAAUGUAAUAUGUUUGUGUAUCUGCUGUAUAUGCAGGAAAGAAUUCAGUGAUGGUGUUUGGACUCUGCAGAAAUGCUUCUUAGUACAAAAGAAUCAAAGAAUCUUGUGCGGUAACGCGAUGGCGCUGGGCACAAGAAACGUUGUCUUGAGCUGUGUCUCCACAGCCAUGUCACGGCAGACCCAUCCGUCUCCGUGCCCGGGCGCUCUCCCCCGCUCCAGCGCCGCAAUCCGGUCCGAAUCAAUACCUUCCUCCGUCGUCGAUCUGCGGCCCCUUCAUGCUUCAUGCCCGUGGUGUGCUCGACAUGCCGCAUCGACACGCUGCACUGGUAUGUGUCCGACAGCGCCAUACAAUUUCAUAGUAAUAUUCAGCUUUGUCCAUGUUGCAAUGACAAUUACUGUAUAUAUAACUCUUCCCAUGUUCAAUACCGAUGGGCGAUGGCUGCUCUCUCCUUUUUGUUUUGUGAAAGGACCUCAGAUUAAUUAAACGUCCAGCCAGAGAUACAAGGCACCCCACAUAGUGUGAAUGAUUUACUCAAGUUUAAGCUAUCCAAGGCGUUGGAUUUUUUCUGGACAUGGUUCAAAACAAAGAUUGUACUGACAUAUAGUAAUUACAAAGCUUACAUCACAGAAUGAUAUAAGAAAUGAUACUCAGUGUAUUGGAACACUGAUGUUGGUUUUAGAUAUGCAGUAAGAAGUUUCCCAGGAAGAAUCACUUUUCUAAACCAUGCACAUUUUCUCACAUUAUGCCAGUUAAAAGGAAGAGAAUUAAGAACAUUAACACAUAUCUUUGAUGAAUAUCAUUAUACUAUGUCCAAUGAUAUACCAUGUAUACAUAUGUAAAAGGUUAAAAGUGACAAAUAUUUAUCAAAAGAAACCAUGCCUAGGAGCUAGAUAGAUUCUGGCCAAAUAGAUUUUGAAUAAGGGAGUUGGAACUUUGCAGUUGAUUUUCUACAUCAAAUUUGGUAGCCUGGAGAUGCAGAAGAAGUAGGCACAAGGAGGCGAACAGGCGUAGUAAAUUUACUAUGUGUUAGUUGUUAAAUAUAAGCUACAGGUCCAAAUGUUGAUGCUCCUGUUUACAAGUCGUAUGAAAUGUUUUUUCAAAUGCUUUAUGAUGUUUUUGCUUAGUUGCCUCUGAAGCACAUAAUUUUAUUUUCUCAUUUUUCUCAUAGUGCCUAGCGUUCUGAUGGGAUAUGGGAAGAGAUGGGUGAAUGACCUAUAGGAUUUAAUAGCCCGUGCUCCCUUGCUAUCUGCCUGCAACACAAGCUCAUACUCUACUACAGGGAGGCUGCGGUCAUACGAGGACAUCAUCAAGAUCUUCGAUCGGUGCAACCAACUGAUUGAUGUUGCUGUUUGGAUGGCCUGUAGUUCGAGUCAUUCUGGGUUUUCUACUGUUAUACCUCGCAUCUAGAAGAUCUUUGGUGGGUUUCAUAAUCGUAAGGUCAAAUGGCAUUAUACAAAUUGAGUGCUAUUACCAUGCAUGUGACUGUUCUGUUUGAAGUAAGUCAAACUCUAUUAGGUACUCCCUCCAUUCCACAAUGUAGUGCUUCCUCUAUCCUCGUGCUUCAAGUUUGACCGUAAAUUUAACUAUCAAGACUAAUUGCGGCGGGAGCAAAAAUUAUAUCAGUGAAUUCGUAUUCGAAAGAAGUUUUCAAUUAUACAAUUUUUUCUCCUGCCGCAGUUGGUCUCAUUGGUUAAAUUUAUAGUCAAAGUUGGACCUCGGGAAGCGUAGGCGCACUAUAUUUUGGAAUGAAGGGAAUAUGUGAUGUUUCCAAAUUGAAUAAGUAGAAGUGCACAUCUGACAUAUAUCUCGAAUUAAUGUUUCUAGAAAUAAUGAGUUAAUUUUAUGAACACCGAUGGGCAAACGUUUUAUCUUUAUUUGAUGAUCCAGAGAGAGGUCAACUUCCAUUUUUACUGUCAUUAACCUUUUAUUGCCAUCUUGAUAAGCACAUGGUGAAUUAUGUACUAAGUGUAUAUUUCAUGCUUGUUAUAAGGUCUCAGAUCAAUGUUGAUGCUCUUGCUUCUCCUUGUAUUUCUCAUAUAUUAGAAGCUGCUGGAAACAUUUAUAGUUUCCCUGGCAUGUUUAGCAUGUAGUUAUUUCCCUUAUUUAAAUGCAGAUGAAAAAUAAUAAUCUAGAUGCAUCUAUUUCUCUUUUUGGACCAGGGGAGUGUUCCCCGUUUGAAUAAUAAACACCUAGAGUGGCAGUAUUGCUAACGGUGAAAUGCAUUUAAAAUAUCUGUAGGUUGUACCAGCUUGAAGAAAUAUUCUAACUGAAAAUAUCUGCAUAGGUUAUACGGGCCAGAGUAUCCAUUGUCGACGCCAUCUUCGCUGUUGUACCCAUAUUUGGGGCCAACCAAACUGUGUAGCCGUCUGUCAUCUUGGAAGUCUCCAGACGAGCUCGUGCCCAAGAAGCUCCGGUGUCAGGAUAGAACGGUAAUACAUGCUUGUGCUUUAAAUAUAUGUUUAAACCAUAAAAUUGAUUUGUUCCUUUCAAUGAUAUGUCAACAUGCAUUUCCAAGUAUAUGCACUACAUGUUGCUAUCAAAUGACUCACUUCUAAUGCAUUGCUUCUUAGCUGAAUAUAUGUUUGUUUGUUAUACUUUUUUCCUUAGAAACUAUUGUUCUCAAGUGGAGAGUGGAGACACAAUUGUAAAGGUCAUCCCUUGUAAUCUCAACUGAAAUAAGCGGAUGUCUAGCUGAUGUUGGCAUACAUGGAAAUUCGUCUUGUCUUUUAUUGGUUAACACCCAAUAGGCUUCACCAAAUUGUUUUGAAUUUUGCUUUUAUACAUCAACUAGAUGCUUGUCAUUAUAUUUAAUUGGCAACAUCAUGUAAACCUGUGUACAAAAAAAAUCUUGGAAAACUCAGGUGGCAGUUAGCUAUGAAGUAUAUCCAUUUUAUUACAACUUGCUUAUGAUGUACUAUACUUGUCCAACACAAAACUCAAACUCACAACACAGGUACCUAAAUCAUAUUUGUAAAUCAACAUCAGAAAAGAAAAGGAAAAAACAGUUGGUUCCAACGAACAGGUCGAGCAGCUCACGCCGCUUGCAACUAUUUCUUUGGGUACAUUUUCAUGCUUCAUCAGGAUAGAGGGAGGCAUCACCAUUCACCAAGUCUAUGUAUCUUUCCCAAGCCAGGCACAGAUGAAGUCUCGUCUUUUUUUUUAGAAACGAUGUCUCAUCUUGUUGAUGCACGUGAAUUUCAUGUCCAUGCUUACUAGUAAAUAUAAGAGCGUUUAGAUAACUACUUUAGUGAUCUAAAUGCUCUUAUAUUUGUUUACGGAGGGAGUACAUAUGAAUGAUAUUGAUAGAUGCUUGCUUGAUUGGGAUGUGCACAACAACGUUCCAUGUUGAUUUGUCAGCAUUCUUAUCAAUUAGGAAAUCUCCAUAACCCAAAAAAACAGAGUUAGAACAACUUUGAGCAACCUGCCGUUUAGUUAUCACAGUUGCAACUUGCAUGAAACCAUAUGCUCAACAGAACCAGAUUAUCCUACAACUAAAACUCCAACAUCAUAGUAAUUCUCUGGGUAAAUUUUGAUCAAACAUUUCACAAUACUAUGAGUAGUUGCCACAGUUCAGGAUAGUGUGACACUUACCUGUCAAUAGAAUAACACCAAAAGUAUAGUCCGAUAAUUAAGAUUCAGGUUAUUCCAAGAAUAGCACAUGAACUAGAAGUCUAACAUCAUGCACAUUGGUCAACUAAUAAAACAUAUAUAUGGCUAUAAGCCUAUUGCCACCAAUGCUUCAUUGAGUUUCAUCCUUGUUAUGGCCACAUUGGUUUGCCCCAUACAUAAAAACUUGCAUACUCUGAAACACUAAGAAUAUAAAACAGCCAACACACACCAAGCAAGGUUACACAGAAUUAGAAAAUAGCAGUCGUGCGGAGACGAACAAUUUCUUUCGGAAUAGAACUCUAAUACCCUAUCUUCAAUCUUCAAAACCACUAUAUUCUCCAGAAAGAGUAUAAAUAUCCAUAUUUAGAAGUAGAACAAUCAUCAGCUUAAUAGUGGACUAUAAUGUCAUAUUUUUCAGUUCGCAAAAGUUGCACAUCUAAUCUACUAUGCAUACUCACAUAGAACAAUAAAUGCACUAUAUAUAUAUCCAAAUAACAACAAAUAAAUAUGCCUUUUCUUCACAGGUUGCAUGGCAAGAAUAUAAUUGUUGUGAUUUCAUUUAUUUUCUAAUAUGUUUGCUCACGCAGCAAAUACAUAGCCAAGCAUGCAUACAUUUUUGUUAAAUCAAAGGACUAAUGGUCACUUUUGCAUUUCUGUUUCUUUGUUGAUGCACUUUUUGCAUGAUUGACAAACAACCACUCAUCAAAAGAUCAUGAAAAGAAGUAUGUACACUCACCUUGCAAUCAGCCAACCUAAUAUGAUGCUUUCAUCAGUGGACAGAACCAACAGCAUUGACCAUAUCUAAGGCGACCACACUUUGGCAUGAAUCAAAUUCACAUCCGCCAAUUUUGACGGAGGGAAUUUGAGCAGCUGGAGGUGCCAUAGAUGGGAGGAGAAACUGGCUGUUGGGAUGCACCCGUCUGCAAGACGCGGCGGCGAUACAGACGACAUGGAUGGCAAGCGGAGAUUAAGGCCUCGUUUGGCACAAGAGGUUUUGAGGGUAUUUUCCUCGCGUGGCCCAGAAAACCUGCAAAACCUCGAGGCCCCAUUUGGUACACGAGGUUUCCUCGGCCCAUCCGCUCCGAUCCCCUCGUUUCCACGCGAUUCAGAAGCCUCGCCUCCUACCUCGCGGAAGCACAGGCACACGCACAAAGCGAGACCGCACCGCACAGGAAGGGAGACGGCGCCCCUCUUGCCGUCCCUCCUCCACGCCAGCCGGAAACUUCGCCCUCCCCUACCGUGCCGCCCCCUACCGUCCCCUUUUCCCCGCUACAACCAUCUGCGCCGCCCCCUACCACCCCUUUCUGCCCGGUUUGUUCACAUCUGGUUCCUCAAGACGGUGGCCGGAGGCGACAUGCCCGGUCCGGAGAAGCUAGAUGCCGCCGGAGAACCCUUGCCUUCCUACUGUCUAGAUGACCCCAAAGCUAGACCUAGCUUGUUCCAUCUUCUAUCUUCGUUUUGAUUCGAUCCUGGCGAGCCCUAGACUGGAUCGAUCCAUCUCCUUUUAGUUCCUAGUGUUUUUGCUUUUUAUUGAAUCCUGGUGGUUGAGUUCUUGAUCCAUGGAUGGUCUUGAUCUGUGCGUGGUUGAGUUCUUGAUCCAUGGGUAGUUGAGUUGUAUUUAUCUGUCUGACGCGUGUGCAUGUUUUGAUUGAACAGAAUGUAGUCUGGGUGUUUUGAUUGAACAUACUGUCCAAGAUUACUGUACAAUUUACAAAUAAUACUCAUAAAAAAAGUUUGGACAAAUAUGCUAGAACCAGAUUGAUCUCUUGUUAGUACUAAAUAUGCUUGAACCAAAUUGCUUGAGAUUGUUUUUACUAAAUAUGCUUGAACAAGAUUCGUCUCUUGUUAAUAUGCUUGAACCAGGUUUUGCGCCAUUCAUUCUGGAAAUUAUUUUUACUGAAUAUAUGCUUGAACCAGAUUGCGCGGUUAUGGCGGUUUAGAGGACAUUUUAUUUUUGUCAUGAAAUGUGUUAUCAUAUCGUUACCCUACGUUUGAUUCAUGCUAAUUAUGUAAUACAGACACUCUGUUCUAAUUUCAAUUUGAUAGGAAGAUGCCCUACAAACAAAAUGUUCAACUUGGUUGUAACUCGUGUUCUGUAGCAAGUGAAAGAUUGGAUUUUUAACUGUUUUGCACCAUGUCAUCUCUAUAUGGCAAACCCUGUCAACCAAAUGCAUUUUUAUACAAAGGGGAUUUUGGCUGGUGGGGGAUUGGGGAAUCAAGGGGAUUGGGUGGAAGGGAGGGAUUCACCAAAUCCUCUCCUCCAGAAACCUCUCAAAUACUCCUCUACCAAACAUAGCCUAAUGGUGGAGACUGCCGGGAGGACGCAACGUCCGUGAUUUGGGGAGACAAAAGAGAGACCAAGGGGACUGGAACCUCGUUCAGAAAAGGGGGAUUGGAACCUCGUAAAAGAAAAAAGGAAUUGGAACCUGCAGCCCGCCUCCACGGACGAAGAUGAAGGGCCUGUUUGGUUGGAGAUUUGGCCUGUUUGGUUGGAGAUUUAAUUUGCCAUGCCUAAGGUGAGGUAUCAGCCACACCUGUGGCGCGCCGCAGAAGUGUGGCGAGCAAAACAAACGCCAGACCUUUUGACGAAAAUCCUACUGGAGAAAUCACUAUGCACUGUGGCAAGCCAAACAUUAGUAUAGAACCAAACGCAUGCCUGAAAAGUUGUGGCACGCCACACCUUUGGCUUGGCAAGCUAAGGCUGGAACAGCCCCGAAAAGAUAUCCAACUACAACCAAGACAAAGAGAAGAGAAAAUAGAACCUGCUGUGGAGCAGAAGAAGCCGAUACGGCCGGCGUGGAUCCGGCAUGCGGCCAUCCAGAGGCAUGGCAACACGCUCUUAUCAGCUGACGAAACGACAGGGCAACCCUCCCCCGCGGCCACACCGACAACGAAACACGGCAGGAAUGUCUGCUGCCCCUCUCCUUCUCUCCCACAAGCGCCGCCAAAGAAAGAAGAUCUGAUGUAGAGGAAGAAGAAAAUGCCAACAACAGAUCCGGACCCGACUCCGACGAAGAAGCAAGCACCAAAGACCCCGACAAAG